GUCCAUGAGUGUAAUAUAUAAUGAUUUUUUUUAUUUAUACGAAUACAAGCAAAAAUAUUCUUUUGAUAAAAACAGAAGAGCCGACGUUUCGGCUUGAAAACGGAUGCCAGAGAGCCCGGAAGUUUUACCAUUUCGUAUAUUAAAUAGUGAAUAGAUGUAUUGCAGCUCCCCCCGGUAUUUAUUUCGCGUAGUACACUGGUAGAAAAUGAUAGGUCGACAUUUGCGGGGAGAUUCACGCGGAUACCCUGUCUGCCAACCCACUCUAGAUCAGCUUCCAUAUAUUCCGCUCAAUUACAUAUGUACUACAUCAAAGGAGAGACAAUAUACAAAUUGGAGACAUCAAUUUGCAUAUCCGGCAAGUGCGCCGUCAGUUAUGUAAUUAUAUGUACAUUAUUCUAACAGAUUCCUCGGCGUAAAUCCCAAGAGCAAUUAAAGUUUUCCAAUUUACGCGCUGGUUGAUUCAUUAAUCCAAUUAGAGGGGAGUGGAGCUACCUGGCCGUCCUCCGACUGUCUGCCGGCCUGUGUCCACUCUAUGUGUCCACUUCUUGUCAUCAGGGCGGGGUACUGCAAGUAAAGUAGAACAUACUCCAUGAGAGGACACUCCCACUAGAGGACACCUCUCUACAGUAGAACAUACUCCAUGAGAGGACAUCUCUCUACAGUAGAACAUGUUCCAUGAGAGGACACCUCUCUACAGUAGAACAUAUUCCAUGAAAGGACACCUCUCUACCGUAGAACAUACUCCAUGAGAGGACACCUCUCUACAGUAGAACAUACUCCAUGAGAGGACACCUCUCUACAGUAGAACAUACUCCAUGAGAGGACACCUCUCUACAGUAGAACAUACUCCAUGAGAGGACACCUCCCUACAGUAGAACAUACUCCAUGAGAGGACACCUCUCUACAGUAGAACAUACUCCAUGAGAGGACACCUCUCUACAGUAGAACAUACUCCAUGAGAGGACACCUCCCUACAGUAGAACAUACUCCAUGAGAGGACACCUCCCUACAGUAGAACAUACUCCAUGAGAGGACAUCUCUCUACAGUAGAACAUACUCCAUGAGAGGACACCUCUCUACAGUAGAACAUACUCCAUGAGAGGACACCUCUCUACAGUAGAACAUACUCCAUGAGAGGACACCUCUCUACAGUAGAACAUACUCCAUGAGAGGACAUCUCUCUACAGUAGAACAUACUCCAUGAGAGGACACCUCUCUACAGUAGAACAUACUCCAUGUGAGGACACCUCUCUACAGUAGAACAUACUCCAUGAGAGGACACCUCUCUACAGUAGAACAUACUCCAUGAGAGGACACCUCUCUACAGUAGAACAUACUCCAUGUGAGGACACCUCUCUACAGUAGAACAUACUCCAUGUGAGGACACCUCUCUACAGUAGAACAUACUCCAUAAGAGGACACCUCUCUACAGUAGAACAUACUCCAUAAGAGGACACCUCUCUACAGUAGAACAUACUCCAUAAGAGGAAACUCCCGCUAGAGGAGCGAUUUCCUUAUGUUCCAACCCAACUAUCAACAUAUCUUUCGAGACAAAGUCAAGAUAUAGACAAUUGGUUUAAUUUAGCCCGUUGAAGAGCGAUUAUCACUUGAAAGUUUGCAUUUUAAAAUGAAAAGAAACUCAUUGUGAGAAAAUAAUUGUAGUUUCUCUACAUGUGUACUUUAGCUCUGUAACUAACUAGGUGAGAGAGAGGUUCUACUGUAAUUAAUACUGAUACUCUCUUUGUUUAUUUCAUGUUUGUGUAUUAAACAAUCUUUUAAACUUGUAAAAAGUUUUCCAGGAAUUUAAAUAAAGACGAUACAAAGGAUCGGUUUUAAGACCUAAUCGCGGAUUUAAGAUAGAAAUUUAUCUUAAAAUCGAUUCACGUUUGUGUAUUAAACAAUAUUUUAAAACUUGAUAAUUAAAAAAGUUUUCCAGGAACUUAAAUAAAGAUGAUACAAAUGAUCAAUUUUAAGACCUAAUCGGAUCUAUGAAUACAUUUUGUCUUAAAUCGAGAAUAUUGAUUAUAUAUAUACAUAUUUAAAUAUAUAAAAAAAUAAAGCCCGUGUUGUGACAAACCCCACACACGCCGUGAAAUUCCCCCCGGGAAAAAUAAAUUAGGAGCGUCAAUUUAAAUGGCCACCGCCAACUCUAUCAGAAAGGGAGAGCAAAAUCCCAGUAUGACGUCAUCCAUCUUGGAGGAGAUUGGACCGCCUUCUUACCUUAGAUGAACACCGUUAAUUUACUUUCCUAGGGACACUUUGUCUUUCCUUAUAUGUUUCUUCCUUGCUGAGUAAAUACCUAUAUGUCGACUUUUUCGUGAUAAAUGCAUCUCAAGGUUAGCAAUGAAAAACAAACAAACAAAAUUUACAUAUCCUGAGCACGCACAUGAGUAUUUUAAACGGCAAUUUUGUUUUUAAUAUCAACACCUGACAAUUAUUCUAUUUUUUCUUCUUUUUUCACACAUAUCGCCAUCUAAAAUGCUCAUAUGAGCGGUAUGAACAUGUCAAUUUUGUUUUUAAUAUCAACACCUGACAAUUCUUCUAUUUUUCUUCUUUUUUCACACAUAUCGCCAUCUAAAAUGCUCAUAUGAGCGGUAUGAACAUGUCAAUUUUGUUUUUAAUAUCAACACCUGACAAUUCUUCUAUUUUUCUUCUUUUUUCACACAUAUCGCCAUCUAAAAUGCUCAUAUGAGCGGUAUGAACAUGUCAAUUUUGUUUUUAAUAUCAACACCUGACAAUUCUUCUAUUUUUCUUCUUUUUUCACACAUAUCGCCAUCUAAAAUGCUCAUAUGAGCGGUAUGAACAUGUCAAUUUUGUUUUUAAUAUCAACACCUGACCUUUAUUUCUAUUUUAAAAUUAUUUUUUUCACACAUACGUGUAUAUACAAUAACAACAAAAGCCUUUAUUGAGGACCUCUCGUCCUAUAUAGGAUUCGCCAGUUUACAGAGUAAGAGAAGAGAACUAAGAAUACAGAGAGAAACCUAUAUGUAGUAGGUAUAGUAUAGUAUUUUCUACACUGUGACUAUAUACAACAGCAGUAACAAGCCUUUUACUGGAAUCAAAGUCCCAUACAGGAUUCAUACGUGUAUAUACAUUUCUGAUCAUUUGUUGGUUGAUUUGGAAAAAAAUACAUCAACGUCAUGAAACGUUGGGAUUGAAAUAAACGAUAUAUUUUUGUAUAUUAUUGCAUCUAUAAAACAAAAAUUGACAAUUAUACCGCAAAUGUAUCUUUUGAACGAAAAAUCGAAAUUUAUUUUAAGGAGAAAUACCUAUUAUUUCCAACCUUAGGGAUGAAGUAUGAAAGGAUGAAUUGUGAAGAGUAAUGAAGAACGGAAAAAUCAUUACUCUUCACAAUUCAUCCUUUCAUACUUCAUCCCUAAGGUUGGAAAUAAUAGGUAUUUCUCCUUAAAAUAAAUUUCGAUUUUUCGUUUAGAGAAACAUUUGCGGUAUAAUUGUCAAUUUUCGUUCUACAAUCAUAAGCACAUUAUACUGUAUCUAUUAGAUAAUAAAAAGGCAUAUAUUGGACUUAAUAAAAUAUUUAUUUUGCAAUAUUUCGGCUGGCCGAACGCCAACCUUUAUCGAGGCAUUACAUUUUUGUAUACCUUUUUGUAUAUAAAAAUGUAAUGCCUCGAUAAAGGUUGGCGUUCGGCCAGCCGAAAUAUUGGCAAAAUAAAUCUUUUAUUAAAUCCAAUACAUGCCUUUUUAUUAUCUUAUGAAUUAAAUAUGGAUUGCUCUAUUUUCAAAACAAAAAAUAUUGUAUCUUUAUUAUUUUUUCUUAUUUUUCACAUGAUCAGCGUAUUUAACGCAAAUUUUAGCCGUAAAUACCUAUUUAUUGAUUUCUUAGGAAACCUCUGGGACCAACAUUUUAGCCGUAGAGGUCCAGUCUGCACCACGCUGACGAAGGUCAACAGCCCGAAGCGCGUACGUGGUUGGCUUUUCUUGAUUUAUCAAGAAAUUGGGUUGGACAAAUAUCAAGGAACAAGUUAAAUAAAUAUUUAGUUGAUUAUUGUUCCACUAGAUGGCACCCUGCAUUCAAAAAAGCUCAUGUGAGGCGUCAGAAUAUGCUUUUUUAUUUUUAAUAUCAACACCUGACCAUUUAAUUUUUUUUUCUUAUUUUUUCAUAUAAAAUAUAUAAAUUACUCUAGCUUCUUUAGAAAAAGUCAUCUCCUGACGUGUGACUGAAAGUUUGCCGUUUUCUUCAUUUAUCCUUCGAACCCAAGGUACAAUUUCACCUUUGUAUGUAUGGUGUGCGAUAUUUUAAAAUUUGAACUUCUUAGUUGAAGAUCCAAGAGAAAUUCCCGGCUUUCCAGAAGAGGAAGUUUCUUUGCGAAGUGGAUCAGUCGCACUUAUUUACAAUCAUUUUUCUGUGUUGGUAAAAAAUAAAUAUCACUACAAAUAUUUUAGUGGAAUCUACGAAAUGAAUAGUUGUCUUUAAAGUGGUAGUUUUACCAACUUAAUAGUCCUCGGUAGUAUAGUGGUUAGUAUUCCCGCCUGUCACGCGGGCGACCGGGGUUUGAUUCCCCGCCGGGGAGCUUUUUUUUUCAAUCUCUGUGAAAAAUUUAGGAUUCUACUUUAUAAUUGUUUAAAAUCUUUUUAAUCAUUCCAUUGUAUAAUUCCCAUUUCCAUCCAUUAAAUAAUCAAGGUCAUGUAGUCUGAAUUCAUGGAUUAAAUUCACAAUCUUGGUAGGGUUGGAAUAUAGGUCCUGUCUUGAGGCUUCCAUACAUUCCAAGAGGUGGUCUGGUGAGGUCUCUUUGGUCCUGUAGAUGGUGUAUUGUUAGAAGCCACCAUCCUGGAAGAGGAGCGGCCUCAUAAAAAUACUUGUUCCUUUUGAUUGAUACUUUCUCUUUACUGACGGUAAAAUAUGGAGAGAGACUGAAACAAUGUUUCAAAUCUUUCAAUCAAGGAUAUUUAUCCAAUAUAUUGUACAAUUUAAAAAAUAAUCAACGAUUAGUUAUUGUUUAUUCUGAUAGAUGACGCAAGCCAUCAGCAACUUUCAAUUUCAUGAUCAGGAAAUGCCUUCGAGGGCGAUUUUAAAUCAAUGUUCUGCCAAUCCAUAGUCUCCAACAUAUAGGGCAGUAAUUAGAAUGUCUUUUUGAAUUGGGUGGUGGUAAUUCUUCUUUAGUUUCUUGAGAGACAAGUUCGUCCAUUUCUGGAUGGCUUACACCGAUAUAGCGACUACACUCAUGGACAAAACAUAAGGAAGUGGAAAAUCUUUGAUGUCGCUGGGCGUAUGUUUUUUGAAGGAGACGGAGAUAAUUUUGUUCACACUUGGUUAUCUCGUGUGUCUUCAAUAAAGGUCACUGUAAUAUCUUUCAGAGUUAUUAUCUCAAUCCCGAUAUACAUGCUAAAAGGUAUAACUUCCUUAAGUUUUGUCCAUGAGUGUAUCUUUCAGAGUUAUUGUCUCAAUCCCGAUAUACAUGCUAAAAGGUACAACUUCCUUUAGUUUUGUCCAUGAGUGUAUCUUUCAGAGUUAUUGUAUGAACCCCGAUAUACAUGCUAAAAGGUACAACUUCCUUUAGUUAUGUCCAUGAGUGUAUCUUUCAGAGUUAUUGUCUAAUCCCGAUAUACAUGCUAAAAGGUACAACUUCCUUUAGUUUUGUCCAUGAGUAUAUCUUUCAGAGUUAUUGUCUCAAUUCCGAUAUACAUGCUAAAAGGUACAACUUCUUUAAGUUUUGUCAAUGAGUGUAUCUUUCAGAGUUAUUGUUUCAAUCCCGAUAUACAUGCUAAAAGGUACAACUUCCUUUAGUUUUGUCCAUGAGUGUUUCUUUCAGAGUUAUUGUCUGAAUCCCGAUAUACAUGCUAAAAGGUACAACUUCCUUUAGUUUUGUCCAUGAGUGUAUCUUUCAGAGUUAUUGUCUGAAUCCCGAUAUACAUGCUAAAAGGUACAACUUCCUUCAGAUUUGUCCAUGAGUGUAUAUCAAUGCUAUAAUAUUCUGACAACUAAAAGAGAUGUAAUAUACAAAUUUAUUUCAGCCAUAUUGUCAAUAUCUUAGGCCAAGAAUAUUAAAGCCAGUCAACACGUGUGUUGAAUAAAUUAAUUGUAGGAGUUACUGGAUAUUUACGGUGAGAUGGACACAUCAUAUUUAUCAUGGUAAUUUGAAAAUGUCAAACUCCAUUUGACAUGGAUGGAUAAUAAUUAUGGCCCUCAAGUUAUUUGGGAACAAUUUAACGGGUCACGAACCCCAUCUUCUGAUCCCCUUCUACUAGACGCCAUUUUAAAUGCUUUUCGUCUGCUUAAAAAAAUAUAUAUUUUUAACUGAUGCCAUUUUUCGUAAUUUUGAAGAUUUUUCUUCUGCCUAUACCAUUUAUUUUCAAACUUUUCGAUACAUAUUUAUAACAUUUAGUAAGUAAGACUUUUUUUAUCGUCUGCUUAAAAAAAAUUCCCGCCAUUUUAAAUAUCUAGGAACAAUAUAUUUAUUAGGAUGUAAAUAUGUAUGAAUACCUGGGGGGCAGUUAUGCAACAAAGAAUGUUCGAAUAUAAAGAAGAUUUGCAUCAAUAUUUGAAAGAAACAUUUCGUGGAAGAAUAUACGCACAAAAAAACAACAACAACAACAACAAAAAAACUGAAUAUUUGAAAGGGAGAAGGGUUAAAAAAGAAAAUAUGCAUAUAUUUUUAAUAUUAUGUAAAUAUUUGUGAUGAAAAUAGUUUCAAAAAUUUAGCAAUCUUUCUAUAUAUAUUUGCAAUAUAAUCGCUAUAUAAAAUCGUUAAAUAAAACGAUAUAAGUGUGUUAUUGUUGCGAAUACGUCUGCACAAUAUCAGACACGUAUUUAGAAUAAAGCUUUCUCGAUAUUUAAAUUCGGUAGGUUUGACUUACUGUCACAGUUUCGAUUUCAGAAUAUGCAACACUAGGUCGAUAACAGUUUGAUUUGCAUAAUCCGGGGGACGGAAAUUUAUUAUGAUAAUAAUCAAUUAUUGAAUUCCUAUCUUCACCGUCACUACUACUUGUCAUUGUUAGUGUCCCUCAAGUCAACUUUUAGUGACAUAUGGUGACAAAUAUUCUCCAGUUUGAUCUGUUAGUGACCAUCACUCUCAUCUAGUGACCUUCUGGUAGUUUUCUUGAUCUCUUCUAACCAGCUCAUUGGAGGUCUUCCUCUCUUCUUUCCUUUUUUUUGCCCCAACAUAAUAUCUUUUAUAAUCUAUUUACACUCACGGACAAAACUUAAAGAAAUGGAAAGUCUUUGAUGUCGCCGGUCGUCUGUUUAUUUAAAAAAAAAAAGACAGAGGCUGUUAACGCUUGGUUAUCUCGUUUCUUCAAUAAAGGUCACUGUAAUAUCUUUCAGAGUUAUUGUCUGAAUCCCGAUAUACAUGCUAAAAGGUACAACUUCCUUAAGUUUUGUCCAUGAGUGUAUCUUUCAGAGUUAUUGUCUGAAUCCCGAUAUACAUGUUAAAAGUUGCAACUUUCUUAAGUUUUGUCCAUGAGUAUAACUUGUCAUAUAUUGUAAGGAAACAAUGAAGAGAGUUCAUGCCGACCCAGAAUUACCAACGGCAAUGUUUGAUUGUAUAGGUCGCUGGGAAUAUCUAGCAGCACAUGGCGGAAAUGUGGAUUGAUGGGAGGGUGGCGUGUGGACCACUCCCUUACUUCUACAGUUCACGGCCUGGCCACGGAGUAGAAAGUUGAUUGAUACCAUUUCAUAACAAAGACACAUCUCCUGAUUGUGCAAAUGAAAAUUGCUGAUGGACUGCGCCAACUAUAGCAAUCAAUAUAAUCUUAAUUUAUAUAAAAAACGUUUUUUAGCCAAUAUUCUGGGAUUAAAAAAAAAUAUAUAUAUAAGCGAUUAAAUUAUAUUUAUUCCGAAAGAUGGCGCAAGCCAUCAUCUAUCUUCAAUUGAAUGAUUAGGAGAUGCCUUUUUUAUCCUUAUUUAACCACUUAAUCCCUGUGUAAUUUUUGUAUUAUUUUUAUAAUAGCGCCUUUGGCUUGCUGACUAAGUUCUUUAUUUCAAUAUGUGUCAGUGUUAGUAGAUUCUCUGUAGCAUUUGUCAGAACACACCUUCCAGAAAACACGGGUAGCCACAGCUAGCGAUAUAUACACUGAUGGACAAAAUUAAGGACGUUGUACCUUUUAGCAUGUAUAUCGGGAUUGAGACAAUAACUCUGAAAGAUACACUCAUGGACAAAAUUAAGGACGUUGUACCUUUUAGCAUGUAUAUCGGGAUUGAGACAAUAACUCUGAAAGAUACACUCAUGGACAAAAUUAAGGACGUUGUACCUUUUAGCAUGUAUAUCGGGAUUGAGACAAUAACUCUGAAAGAUACACUCAUGGACAAAAUUAAGGACGUUGUACCUUUUAGCAUGUAUAUCGGGAUUGAGACAAUAACUCUGAAAGAUACACUCAUGGACAAAAUUAAGGACGUUGUACCUUUUAGCAUGUAUAUCGGGAUUGAGACAAUAACUCUGAAAGAUACACUCAUGGACAAAAUUAAGGACGUUGUACCUUUUAGCAUGUAUAUCGGGAUUGAGACAAUAACUCUGAAAGAUACACUCAUGGACAAAAUUAAGGACGUUGUACCUUUUAGCAUGUAUAUCGGGAUUGAGACAAUAACUCUGAAAGAUACACUCAUGGACAAAAUUAAGGACGUUGUACCUUUUAGCAUGUAUAUCGGGAUUGAGACAAUAACUCUGAAAGAUGCACUCAUGGACAAAAUUAAGGACGUUGUACCUUUUAGCAUGUAUAUCGGGAUUGAGACAAUAACUCUGAAAGAUACACUCAUGGACAAAAUUAAGGACGUUG
Molecule: non-coding RNA, 8730 nt
Organism: Cordylochernes scorpioides
Lineage: Eukaryota; Metazoa; Arthropoda; Arachnida; Pseudoscorpiones; Chernetidae
Source: the annotation of a GenBank genome assembly